GAAACUUGCCCCGAGAUGAGUUCUCCCUGACUCCCUGAGAGUCCUGAAGGAACGUUGAAGACGACGACGUUGAUAGGCCGGGUGUGUAAGCGCAGCGAUGCGUUGAGCUAACCGGUACUAAUGAACCGUGAGGCUUAACCUUACAACGCCGAAG
This 154-nucleotide ribosomal RNA is filed under the name Escherichia coli. RNAcentral describes it as "partial 23S ribosomal RNA". It matches the Rfam family "Bacterial large subunit ribosomal RNA", at positions 2789 to 2925 of the family's 2925-position model. The record is from RNAcentral. Lineage: Bacteria; Pseudomonadati; Pseudomonadota; Gammaproteobacteria; Enterobacterales; Enterobacteriaceae.